AUUGAACGCUGGCGGAAUGCUUUACACAUGCAAGUCGAACGGCAGCACGGACUUCGGUCUGGUGGCGAGUGGCGAACGGGUGAGUAAUGUAUCGGAACGUGCCCAGUCGUGGGGGAUAACGUAGUGAAAAUUACGCUAAUACCGCAUACGAUCUAUGGAUGAAAGCGGGGGAUCGCAAGACCUCGCGCGAUUGGAGCGGCCGAGAUCAGAUUAGGUAGGUGGUGGGGUAAAGGCCCACCAAGCCAACGAUCUGUAGAUGGUCUGAGAGGACGAACAGCCACACUGAAACUGAGACACGGUCCAGACUCCUACGGUAGGCAGUAGUGGUGAAUUUUGGACAAUGGUCGAAAGCCUGAUCCAGCCAUUCCGCGUGCAGGAUGAAGGCCCUCGGGUUGUAAACUGCUUUUGUACAGAACGAAAAGGUUUCUACUAAUACUAGGAGCUCAUGACGGUACUGUAAGAAUAAGCACCGGCUAACUACGUGCCAGCCGCCGCCGUAA
This 500-nucleotide ribosomal RNA is filed under the name uncultured bacterium. Its description in RNAcentral is "partial 16S ribosomal RNA". It matches the Rfam family "Bacterial small subunit ribosomal RNA", at positions 30 to 523 of the family's 1533-position model. The record is from RNAcentral.